This 1054-nucleotide long non-coding RNA is filed under the name Homo sapiens (human). RNAcentral describes it as "long non-coding RNA NONHSAT178002.1". The record is from RNAcentral. Lineage: Eukaryota; Metazoa; Chordata; Mammalia; Primates; Hominidae.
GCUUAACAAAGCGUGCUUGAAGACUGAGCCCAGUUUGAGAUGUGGGCUUCAAUAUCAAAAGAAAACGCUGCGACCUAGAUGUAUUCUUGGAGUCACCCAGAAAACCAUCUGGACGCAGGGACCGAGCCCCCGAAAAGCAAAGGAGGAUGGCAGCAAACAAGUGUCUGUGCACAGGAGUCAGAGAGGGGGAACCGCCGUCCCAACAUCACAAAAAGUGAAAGAAGCCGGAAGAGAUUUUACCUAUUUAAUAGUGGUGCUUUUUGGAAUCAGCAUUACAGGUGGCUUGUUUUACACGAUUUUCAAAGAACUUUUUUCUUCAUCCAGUCCUAGCAAGAUAUAUGGGAGAGCCUUAGAAAAAUGCAGAUCACAUCCUGAGGUGAUCGGUGUCUUUGGUGAGUCUGUUAAAGGCUAUGGGGAGGUGACAAGGCGGGGUCGCCGGCAGCAUGUCAGGUUCACUGAAUAUGUAAAAGAUGGGCUGAAACACACGUGUGUGAAAUUCUACAUUGAGGGCUCUGAGCCAGGGAAGCAAGGAACGGUGUAUGCGCAAGUGAAAGAGGUGUGGGAAUCAUGGGAUGUGGGGUCAGAGGUUCUGAGCGCGGUGUUAUUUAAGUUCUGGAAAGGAAAAUAAUACCUGGAAACACUACAUUUUUUUCAGAACCCAGGAAGUGGUGAAUAUGAUUUUCGAUAUAUAUUUGUAGAAAUUGAAUCUUAUCCUAGAAGAACUAUUAUCAUUGAAGAUAAUCGAUCCCAAGAUGAUUAAAAUAGGGUUUCUGAUGGAUGUUGAAUGGCGUGGACUCGCUACUCCGUUCUUCACAGCUGCCUUCCAGAAUGUGUUCAAAAGAAAGACAAGAAGGAGUGUAUGGCUUAUAAAGUGAAUCUAAUACAGUAUUUGUUGCAUUUAAACAAACUAGACAUUUUCUUACGGAAAAAUUAUGAAAUACAGCAUAUUUUAUGUUCUCCCAUUGACUCAAUCAUGACAAUAUUUCUGCUUUAACACCAUCUUUCAUGAUUAGAAAUGUUUGUUAUUGGAAAUGUUACACCAUGUAAAUAAAGG